CCUACUCCCAUGCUUCUGGGGAUUUACACUUUUGCUGAUCAGCUGGACAAGCACCAACAGUGGAAAUCCUCCUGGCAAACAGAAAGAACACAGUCUCCAGAGUCAGACUGACCCAAGGACUGCACAAGCGUCAUCUUUUAUUUCCUGUGCCAUCUGGCUCAAACUACUCCAAGCUCUUUCCACGUCUCAAUAACUUUGUCUGUGAAAUGAAGCUAUAAGAAAACCAAAGAAAGGGAAGCCAUGUCCUUUCCACUAUGAAGGCUUUCAAAGGAAAGGAAAUAGGACACUGGCUGGAAUUCAGCCACAAAGCUUGAAUCCACAUGGUGACACUUUGAGAGAUCUUCAAAGUUCCUGCCCUCGGGGAAGUAGAUUCUCUAAGCAAGUCAUCUGGCAGAAGAACCCACUGGCAAAAUCUACUGAAAGAGGAUAAUGUAAAAUGACAGCUGUAAUGUUUUUGCAAAAGUUCUGAAGACAGUGCUGAGCCAACAGGAUGCAUGACCACGUAUCUGGAGCUUCUGUUUCAAGGAUGAAAAUUACACAUAAACAUUUACUAUACUUAGACUAUUUCCCAAAAUCCCACUGAGAUGAUGAUACAUAAAAACUAAUAAUCCAUAAUAGUCCAUAAACAAGAAAGGGUGCCAAUAGCCAAUUAGAAAAUUUGAAAAAUUUAUGAAAGGUGAGAAAGCAGAUGGAAUACUGUUGAUGGACAAACCAGAGGAAACUGCAACUGAAACAAGCAUGGUGAGGGUUGCUCUGGCAAUUCGAACCAUGCUUCCCAGGGAUCCUUAAGGAAUAUGGAGCUAAAGAGGAUGGGAGUACAAGCAAUCAAGACCAUGUCUGUGAGGCUUGAAGCCGAUCAGCCAAUUCUCCACCACAGAACAACCAGAGAGAUACAAACCACACUAGGAGGUUGGAGGAGAAAGAAGACUCAAGGAACUUGACUAAAACGAUGUGGACAACAGGCUUUCUGUUCUGCUGUGCCUAAUAUCAACUUUCCUGAUAUAUUAAAAAACCAAAAC
RNAcentral lists this long non-coding RNA (1019 nucleotides) under Heterocephalus glaber (naked mole-rat). RNAcentral describes it as "lncRNA (ENSHGLG00100047509.1)". The record is from RNAcentral. Lineage: Eukaryota; Metazoa; Chordata; Mammalia; Rodentia; Bathyergidae.